GGCGACGUGUCUUUCAAGUAUCUGCCGUAUCAACUUUCGAUGGUAGUGUAUCUGACUACCAUGGUGAUCACGCGUAACGGAGAAUAAGGGUUCGGCUCCGGAGAGUUCGCCUGAGAAAUCGCGAACACAUCUAAGGAAGGCAGCAGGCGCGAAAAUUACCCACUCUCAGCACGAGGAGGUAGUGACGAAAAAUAACGAGACCGUUCUCUUUGAGGCCGGUCAUCGGAAUGGGUACAAUUUAAACCCUUUAACGAGUAUCUAUGAGAGGGCAAGUCUGGUGCCAGCAGCCGCGGUAAUUCCAGCUCUCAAAGUGCAUAGAAUUAUUGCUGCGGUUAAAAAGCUCGUAGUUGGAUCUGUGCCAUAGGACUGGGUCCACUUUCGGGUGCGUACUCAGCUCCUAGGCUUUUUGAUGGUUUUCCCGUCGUAGCCUUCACUGGUUGCGGCGGGUGGCUGUCGAGUUUACUUUGAGAAAAUCAGAGUGCUCAACACAGGCGUAUCGCUUGAAUGAUUGUGCAUGGAAUAAUAGAAAAGGAUUUCGGUCCUCUUUUAUUGGUUUUGUGGACUGAGAUAAUGGUUAACAGGGACAAACGGGGGCAUUCGUAUCGCUGCGUGAGAGGUGAAAUUCUUGGACCGUAGCGAGACGCCCUACUGCGAAAGCAUUUGCCAAGAAUGUCUUCAUUAAUCAAGAACGAAAGUCAG
The sequence is a ribosomal RNA, 699 nucleotides long. It matches the Rfam family "Eukaryotic small subunit ribosomal RNA", at positions 286 to 993 of the family's 1831-position model.